UCCCUACUGGCUCAGACAGUAAAGAAUCUGCUUGCAAUGCGGGAGGACCCAGGUUCAAACCCUGGGUCGGGAC
This 73-nucleotide transfer RNA is filed under the name Bos taurus (domestic cattle). It matches the Rfam family "tRNA". Rfam says of the family: Transfer RNA (tRNA) molecules are approximately 80 nucleotides in length. Their secondary structure includes four short double-helical elements and three loops (D, anti-codon, and T loops). Further hydrogen bonds mediate the characteristic L-shaped molecular structure. tRNAs have two regions of fundamental functional importance: the anti-codon, which is responsible for specific mRNA codon recognition, and the 3' end, to which the tRNAs corresponding amino acid is attached (by aminoacyl-tRNA synthetases). tRNAs cope with the degeneracy of the genetic code in two manners: having more than one tRNA (with a specific anti-codon) for a particular amino acid; and 'wobble' base-pairing, i.e. permitting non-standard base-pairing at the 3rd anti-codon position. RNAcentral also lists the same sequence under 5 other names. The record is from Rfam by way of RNAcentral. Lineage: Eukaryota; Metazoa; Chordata; Mammalia; Artiodactyla; Bovidae.